Molecule: long non-coding RNA, 109 nt
Organism: Carassius auratus (goldfish)
Lineage: Eukaryota; Metazoa; Chordata; Actinopteri; Cypriniformes; Cyprinidae
Exons: 3
Source: RefSeq, a predicted model, not a curated record
GGUUCCGGUGAGACAGGUUCCUGAGAGCACGGAUCACACGUGAGGAACAUCUGCUGACAUCUACCCUACAUGUGUGUGUGUGUGUGUGAGAGAGAGUGUGUGUGUGUGU